CAGGAAGUAGUUUAAUUAGAAUGUCAGCUUUGGGAGUUGAUGGUGAGGUAUAUUUAGCCUUCUUCUUGA
This 69-nucleotide transfer RNA is filed under the name Petrogale brachyotis (short-eared rock wallaby). RNAcentral describes it as "tRNA-Pro". Lineage: Eukaryota; Metazoa; Chordata; Mammalia; Diprotodontia; Macropodidae. The record is from RNAcentral.